RNAcentral lists this ribosomal RNA (963 nucleotides) under bacterium enrichment culture. Its description in RNAcentral is "bacterial SSU rRNA". It matches the Rfam family "Bacterial small subunit ribosomal RNA", at positions 8 to 934 of the family's 1533-position model. The record is from RNAcentral.
AGAGUUUGAUCAUGGCUCAGGAUGAACGCUGGCGGCGUGCCUAAUACAUGCAAGUCGAACGAGUUCUGAUUAUUGAAAGGUGCUUGCAUCUUGAUUUAAUUUUGAACGAGUGGCGGACGGGUGAGUAACACGUGGGUAACCUGCCCUUAAGUGGGGGAUAACAUUUGGAAACAGAUGCUAAUACCGCAUAAAUCCAAGAACCGCAUGGUUCUUGGCUGAAAGAUGGCGCAAGCUAUCGCUUUUGGAUGGACCCGCGGCGUAUUAGCUAGUUGGUGAGGUAACGGCUCACCAAGGCAAUGAUACGUAGCCGAACUGAGAGGUUGAUCGGCCACAUUGGGACUGAGACACGGCCCAAACUCCUACGGGAGGCAGCAGUAGGGAAUCUUCCACAAUGGACGCAAGUCUGAUGGAGCAACGCCGCGUGAGUGAAGAAGGCUUUCGGGUCGUAAAACUCUGUUGUUGGAGAAGAAUGGUCGGCAGAGUAACUGUUGUCGGCGUGACGGUAUCCAACCAGAAAGCCACGGCUAACUACGUGCCAGCAGCCGCGGUAAUACGUAGGUGGCAAGCGUUAUCCGGAUUUAUUGGGCGUAAAGCGAGCGCAGGCGGUUUUUUAAGUCUGAUGUGAAAGCCCUCGGCUUAACCGAGGAAGUGCAUCGGAAACUGGGAAACUUGAGUGCAGAAGAGGACAGUGGAACUCCAUGUGUAGCGGUGAAAUGCGUAGAUAUAUGGAAGAACACCAGUGGCGAAGGCGGCUGUCUGGUCUGUAACUGACGCUGAGGCUCGAAAGCAUGGGUAGCGAACAGGAUUAGAUACCCUGGUAGUCCAUGCCGUAAACGAUGAAUGCUAGGUGUUGGAGGGUUUCCGCCCUUCAGUGCCGCAGCUAACGCAUUAAGCAUUCCGCCUGGGGAGUACGACCGCAAGGUUGAAACUCAAAGGAAUUGACGGGGGCCCGCACAAGCGGUG